UAAAGUGGCGAACGGCUGAGUAACACGUGGGCAACCUGCCCUUUGCACUGGGAUAGCCUCGGGAAACCGAGGUUAAUACCGGAUACUCCAUAUUUGUCGCAUGGCGAAUAUGGGAAAGCUCCGGCGGCAAAGGAUGGGCCCGCGGCCUGUUAGCUAGUUGGUGGGGUAGUGGCCUACCAAGGCAAUGAUGGGUAGCCGGGUUGAGAGACCGACCGGCCAGAUUGGGACUGAGACACGGCCCAGACUCCUACGGAGGCAGCAGCC
This 264-nucleotide ribosomal RNA is filed under the name uncultured Atopobium sp. Its description in RNAcentral is "partial 16S ribosomal RNA". It matches the Rfam family "Bacterial small subunit ribosomal RNA", at positions 91 to 355 of the family's 1533-position model. The record is from RNAcentral. Lineage: Bacteria; Bacillati; Actinomycetota; Coriobacteriia; Coriobacteriales; Atopobiaceae.